Long non-coding RNA from Epinephelus moara (kelp grouper), 279 nucleotides. RefSeq lists it as uncharacterized. NCBI's taxonomy places the organism in Eukaryota, Metazoa, Chordata, Actinopteri, Perciformes, Serranidae. The record is from RefSeq and is a predicted model, not a curated record. The transcript has 3 exons.
CCUUCUUUGAGCUUGAGAAGGUUGAUGACCCCGUCAGGCUGACAAGGGACCUGCCGGUCUCCUCCACACAGGAUGGAGGCUGCUACAGCUUGAUCAGCGCCAUCAGCCAUUUUGGCUCCACAGAAAUGGGACACUACAUCAGCGAAGGCAUCCACCCAGACAACAAUCCGGACGAACCAGAUGAUCAUUGGCUCACCUACAAUGAUUCAAUGGUCUUUGAGACGUCCGGCAACUUAGUCUGUGAGCAGCAGGAGAGGGGUGCCUACAUCCUGUUCUACA